This 495-nucleotide ribosomal RNA is filed under the name uncultured bacterium. RNAcentral's name for it is "partial 16S ribosomal RNA". It matches the Rfam family "Bacterial small subunit ribosomal RNA", at positions 28 to 507 of the family's 1533-position model. The record is from RNAcentral.
GACGAACGCUGGCGGCGUGCCUAAUACAUGCAAGUAGAACGCUGAAGGAGGAGCUUGCUUCUCUGGAUGAGUUGCGAACGGGUGAGUAACGCGUAGGUAACCUGCCUGGUAGCGGGGGAUAGCUAUUGGAAACGAUAGCUAAUACCGCAUAAGAGUAGAUGUUGCAUGACAUUUGCUUAAAAGGUGCACUUGCAUCACUACCAGAUGGACCUGCGUUGUAUUAGCUAGUUGGUGGGGUAACGGCUCACCAAGGCGACGAUACAUAGCCGACCUGAGAGGGGGAUCGGCCACACUGGGACUGAGACACGGCCCAGACUCCUACGGGAGGCAGCAGUAGGGAAUCUCCGGCAAUGGACGGAAGUCUGACCGAGCAACGCCGCGUGAGUGAAGAAGGGUUUCGGAUCGUAAAGCUCUGUUGUAAGAGAAGAACGAGGGUGAGAGUGGAAAGUUCACACUGUGACGGUAUCUUACCAGAAAGGGACGGCUAACUACGUG